RNAcentral lists this ribosomal RNA (697 nucleotides) under Acinetobacter baumannii. Its description in RNAcentral is "bacterial SSU rRNA". It matches the Rfam family "Bacterial small subunit ribosomal RNA", at positions 56 to 750 of the family's 1533-position model. Lineage: Bacteria; Pseudomonadati; Pseudomonadota; Gammaproteobacteria; Moraxellales; Moraxellaceae. The record is from RNAcentral.
UGCAGUCGAGCGGGGGAAGGUAGCUUGCUACCGGACCUAGCGGCGGACGGGUGAGUAAUGCUUAGGAAUCUGCCUAUUAGUGGGGGACAACAUCUCGAAAGGGAUGCUAAUACCGCAUACGUCCUACGGGAGAAAGCAGGGGAUCUUCGGACCUUGCGCUAAUAGAUGAGCCUAAGUCGGAUUAGCUAGUUGGUGGGGUAAAGGCCUACCAAGGCGACGAUCUGUAGCGGGUCUGAGAGGAUGAUCCGCCACACUGGGACUGAGACACGGCCCAGACUCCUACGGGAGGCAGCAGUGGGGAAUAUUGGACAAUGGGGGGAACCCUGAUCCAGCCAUGCCGCGUGUGUGAAGAAGGCCUUAUGGUUGUAAAGCACUUUAAGCGAGGAGGAGGCUACUUUAGUUAAUACCUAGAGAUAGUGGACGUUACUCGCAGAAUAAGCACCGGCUAACUCUGUGCCAGCAGCCGCGGUAAUACAGAGGGUGCGAGCGUUAAUCGGAUUUACUGAGCGUAAAGCGUGCGUAGGCGGCUUAUUAAGUCGGAUGUGAAAUCCCCGAGCUUAACUUGGGAAUUGCAUUCGAUACUGGUGAGCUAGAGUAUGGGAGAGGAUGGUAGAAUUUCCAGGUGUAGCGGUGAAAUGCGUAGAGAUCUGGAGGAUACCGAUGGCGAAGGCAGCCAUCUCCCUAUACUGACGCUGAG